This 253-nucleotide ribosomal RNA is filed under the name uncultured bacterium. Its description in RNAcentral is "partial 16S ribosomal RNA". It matches the Rfam family "Bacterial small subunit ribosomal RNA", at positions 524 to 776 of the family's 1533-position model. The record is from RNAcentral.
GACAGAGGGUGCGAACGUUGUUCGGAAUUACUGGGCGUAAAGCGUGUGUAGGCGGCUACGUAAGUCGGAUGUGAAAGCCCCAGGCUCAACCUGGGAAGUGCACUCGAUACUGCGUAGCUUGAGUAUCGGAGAGGUUGGUGGAAUUCUCGGUGUAGAGGUGAAAUUCGUAGAUAUCGAGAGGAACACCGGUGGCGAAGGCGGCCAACUGGACGAAUACUGACGCUGAGACACGAAAGCGUGGGGAGCAAACAGG